This 489-nucleotide ribosomal RNA is filed under the name uncultured Desulfosporosinus sp. RNAcentral's name for it is "bacterial SSU rRNA". It matches the Rfam family "Bacterial small subunit ribosomal RNA", at positions 897 to 1382 of the family's 1533-position model. The record is from RNAcentral. Lineage: Bacteria; Bacillati; Bacillota; Clostridia; Eubacteriales; Desulfitobacteriaceae.
AAACUUAAAUGAAUUGACGGGGCCCGCACAAGCGGUGGAGCAUGUGGUUUAAUUCGAUGCAACGCGAAGAACCUUACCUGGGCUUGACAUCCCGGGAAUCCCUUGGAAACAAGGGAGUGCCCUUCGGGGAACCUUGGAGACAGGUGGUGCAUGGUUGUCGUCAGCUCGUGUCGUGAGAUGUUGGGUUAAGUCCCGCAACGAGCGCAACCCCUACGUUUAGUUGCUAACGCGUGAAGGCGAGCACUCUAGACGAACUGCCGUUGACAAAACGGAGGAAGGUGGGGAUGACGUCAAAUCGUCAUGCCCCUUAUGUUCUGGGCUACACACGUGCUACAAUGGCCGGUACAGACGGACGCAAAGCCGCGAGGUGGAGCAAAUCCUAAAAAGCCGGUCUCAGUUCGGAUUGCAGGCUGCAAUUCGCCUGCAUGAAGUCGGAAUCGCUAGUAAUCGCAGGUCAGCAUACUGCGGUCGAAUACGUUCCCGGGCCUU